GUGGCAAUGCUAAAUAUUUUGGAGUUGAAACGUGUAUUUUAAUAAGUACUCAAAAUGAAUGGCUUCGUUGAGAACGAAGAAGAACCCUGCAAAUAUAAAUAGGUUAAUAGUUCUAUGAGUGUAUUUCUUAUCUUAUAUAUGAAUGAAAUUUUCUUAAUCAAGAAUGAUGUUCUUUACAUUAUAGAGAAUAAAGAUUUUAUUAUUAUUAUU
RNAcentral lists this long non-coding RNA (210 nucleotides) under Elaeis guineensis (African oil palm). RNAcentral's name for it is "long non-coding RNA (EGUI_LNC080469)". The record is from RNAcentral. Lineage: Eukaryota; Viridiplantae; Streptophyta; Magnoliopsida; Arecales; Arecaceae.